GCCCGCGUAGCUCAGUGGAUAGAGCGUCUGCCUCCGGAGCAGAAGGUCGUAGGUUCGAAUCCUGUCGCGGGCACCG
RNAcentral lists this transfer RNA (76 nucleotides) under Brachybacterium alimentarium. RNAcentral's name for it is "tRNA-Arg". It matches the Rfam family "tRNA". Rfam says of the family: Transfer RNA (tRNA) molecules are approximately 80 nucleotides in length. Their secondary structure includes four short double-helical elements and three loops (D, anti-codon, and T loops). RNAcentral also lists the same sequence under 11 other names. Lineage: Bacteria; Bacillati; Actinomycetota; Actinomycetes; Micrococcales; Dermabacteraceae. The record is from RNAcentral.